CCUACGGGAGGCAGCAGUGGGGAAUAUUGCACAAUGGGGGAAACCCUGAUGCAGCAACGCCGCGUGAGUGAAGAAGUAUUUCGGUAUGUAAAGCUCUAUCAGCAGGGAAGAAGAAAGACGGUACCUGACUAAGAAGCCCCGGCUAACUACGUGCCAGCAGCCGCGGUAAUACGUAGGGGGCAAGCGUUAUCCGGAUUUACUGGGUGUAAAGGGAGCGUAGACGGCUGUGCAAGUCUGAAGUGAAAGCCCGUGGCUCAACCGCGGAACUGCUUUUGAAACUGCGGGUCUUGAGUGAUGGAGAGGCAGGCGGAAUUCCCAGUGUAGCGGUGAAAUGCGUAGAUAUUGGGAGGAACACCAGUGGCGAAGGCGGCCUGCUGGACAUUAACUGACGCUGAGGCGCGAAAGCGUGGGGAGCAAACAGGAUUAGAUACCCGAGUAGUC
Molecule: ribosomal RNA, 441 nt
Filed under: uncultured bacterium
Lineage: Bacteria
Description: partial 16S ribosomal RNA
Rfam family: Bacterial small subunit ribosomal RNA
Source: RNAcentral